UCUACGGGCGGCUGCAGUGGGGAAUAUUGGACAAUGGGCGAAAGCCUGAUCCAGCCAUGCCGCGUGUGUGAAGAAGGCCUUCGGGUUGUAAAGCACUUUCAGUGGGGAAGAAAGCCUUGGGGCUAAUACCCUCGAGGAAGGACAUCACCCACAGAAGAAGCACCGGCUAACUCCGUGCCAGCAGCCGCGGUAAUACGGAGGGUGCGAGCGUUAAUCGGAAUUACUGGGCGUAAAGCGCGCGUAGGCGGUCUGAUAAGCCGGUUGUGAAAGCCCCGGGCUCAACCUGGGAACGGCAUCCGGAACUGUCAGGCUAGAGUGCAGGAGAGGAAGGUAGAAUUCCCGGUGGAGCGGUGAAAUGCGUAGAGAUCGGGAGGAAUACCAGUGGCGAAGGCGGCCUUCUGGACUGACACUGACGCUGAGGUGCGAAAGCGUGGGUAGCAAACAGGAUUAGAUACCCCGGUAGUC
Molecule: ribosomal RNA, 465 nt
Filed under: Vreelandella stevensii
Lineage: Bacteria; Pseudomonadati; Pseudomonadota; Gammaproteobacteria; Oceanospirillales; Halomonadaceae
Description: partial 16S ribosomal RNA
Rfam family: Bacterial small subunit ribosomal RNA
Source: RNAcentral